CCGCAGCGUGAAACGGUGCUGCGAGGGAGGAAGGAAAGCUCGUCGAAGAUUCGCCUUCUUCGAUUUCGAUUAGCACGAACCGACGUACGCUGGGAUCGAGCGUGAACAAGCGACCAGCGAGAGGAAAUUCGAGAAGAAGAUCGGAAAAAAGGCGCCAAUGGAAGCACCCUGUGGCACGCGUUGCUACAGGAAAACACCCUCUCGAGCAGGAUUUAGAUGUUCCGUCAUUUCCUGGCAUCCACUUCCCGAUACGACACGUGUCCCCCAGCCACGGUAGUCGUAAUGCAUCCCAAAACGAGGGGGAGAAGACGAUUUAUUAGGAAGCAGGAGCGUAAUGCACCUAACGAAACUAGGAUUCUAUAAAUAUUCAUCUACACCAAUAUUUUUCAUUCAUAUUUAUCCUUUCUAUUAAUAAAAACCAUUUCUAACUUUUAAAA
Osmia lignaria (orchard mason bee) is the source of this 437-nucleotide non-coding RNA. The record is from RefSeq and is a predicted model, not a curated record. NCBI's taxonomy places the organism in Eukaryota, Metazoa, Arthropoda, Insecta, Hymenoptera, Megachilidae.